This 30-nucleotide transfer RNA is filed under the name Hydrilla verticillata (hydrilla). Its description in RNAcentral is "partial tRNA-Phe". RNAcentral also lists the same sequence under 22 other names. Lineage: Eukaryota; Viridiplantae; Streptophyta; Magnoliopsida; Alismatales; Hydrocharitaceae. The record is from RNAcentral.
GUCAGGAUAGCUCAGUUGGUAGAGCAGAGG